This 253-nucleotide ribosomal RNA is filed under the name uncultured bacterium. Its description in RNAcentral is "partial 16S ribosomal RNA". It matches the Rfam family "Bacterial small subunit ribosomal RNA", at positions 524 to 776 of the family's 1533-position model. The record is from RNAcentral.
GACGAACCGAGCGAACGUUGUUCGGAAUCACUGGGCUUAAAGGGCGCGUAGGCGGGUGCUCAAGUCCGGGGUGAAAUCCUCCAGCUCAACUGGAGAACUGCCUCGGAUACUGGGUGUCUCGAGUGUGGUAGGGGUAUGCGGAACUAUCGGUGGAGCGGUGAAAUGCGUUGAUAUCGAUAGGAACUCCGGUGGCGAAGGCGGCAUACUGGACCACUACUGACGCUGAUGCGUGAAAGCCAGGGGAGCAAACGGG